GGCUCGGUGGCGUAAUGGUAACGUACUCCGUAAGACUGGUUGUGUUUGCUGCAAAGGCUUUGCGGAGGGUCCGGAGUUCAAUUCUUCAUUGGGCCU
Molecule: non-coding RNA, 96 nt
Organism: Mycena latifolia
Lineage: Eukaryota; Fungi; Basidiomycota; Agaricomycetes; Agaricales; Mycenaceae
Source: the annotation of a GenBank genome assembly